RNAcentral lists this small RNA (381 nucleotides) under Oryza sativa Japonica Group (Japanese rice). RNAcentral describes it as "sRNA Os02g0162783". The record is from RNAcentral. Lineage: Eukaryota; Viridiplantae; Streptophyta; Magnoliopsida; Poales; Poaceae.
CUUUCAGAAGAGCAGUGACCUUCUGCACACCUCCAUAAUAACUAAAUACUCUACAGUUAUGCACUGAGCGAGUAACAAUGGUCAAGCAUUCCAAAAUAUUCAAUCCCUCAGAGCUUAACAUCAGGUCUGACGAUUGUUCUGAAAUGCAUCAUGGUGUUCAUCAGAUCCACUUACUCUCAGUAAUGAAAGAAGUUAUUUGAGAAACCUCCUGCACAAGAAUAAGGAUGAUCUCAGAAGGAUGCCCUCUGGAGCAUCCUAAAACCGUAUCAUCUGAUAUUGGUUCUUGAUCAACUGAUUGCUCCGUGUAUUGCGGUUCCCACUCUUUGAAUGCUUGUACGAAAUGCAUGAUAAAUAUUUGCAAGGAUUCCUUCUUUUCAGCCU